Molecule: long non-coding RNA, 266 nt
Organism: Leopardus geoffroyi (Geoffroy's cat)
Lineage: Eukaryota; Metazoa; Chordata; Mammalia; Carnivora; Felidae
Exons: 3
Source: RefSeq, a predicted model, not a curated record
GAGGCGGGAGCGGCGCAGGCAGCGAGCGGGAGGCAGAGAAUAAAGAGCGGGUGCGCGGAGGGCCGCGCCUCGGCUCCGUCGCCCUCGCCGGGGCUGGGGCGGCCCUGUACACACUAGCCUGUCUGAGCUCCUCCACUGGGAAGGCUGAGGAUAUCCCGAGUCAGGACGGCCCCAAGUCCCCCUCUUUUUGGUCAGGCCCUGCCCGUCUCCAAGAGGAAAGGAGAGCUGGGGGAUCCAGGGAGCCACCCAAGUGUGGACAGUGCGUG